GCCAGGGGCAGUGGGGCAUGCCUGCAGUCCCAGCUACUCGGAAGGCUGAGGCAGGAGUUCUGCACUGCAGUGCACUAUGUCGAUCAGGUGUCCGCACUAAGUUCAGCAUCAAUAUGUUGACCUCCCAGGAGCGGGGGACCACCAGGUUGCCUCUAUGGAAGGGUGAACUGGCCCAGGUCGGAAACAGAGCAGGUCAAAACUCCAGUGCUGAUUGGUAGUGGGAUCGCACCUGUGAAUAGCCACUGCACUCUAGCCUGGGCAACAU
Molecule: unclassified non-coding RNA, 265 nt
Organism: Callithrix jacchus (white-tufted-ear marmoset)
Lineage: Eukaryota; Metazoa; Chordata; Mammalia; Primates; Cebidae
Rfam family: Metazoan signal recognition particle RNA
About the family: The signal recognition particle (SRP) is a universally conserved ribonucleoprotein. It is involved in the co-translational targeting of proteins to membranes.
Source: Ensembl